GAUGGCUGUCAGCAACACUACACUCAGAAGAUUUCCCUGUGCGGAGGGCUCUAAGCGAACAGACCAGAACUCCGGAGCCUGUCUGGAAAUAUAAAACCACUCAAGAAAUGGAUGACAAACUAUUGCAAUAAACCAGAAAUAGGAAACCACCAUCAGGUUCCAGCGGGAGUUGGAUGUCAAAUCCACAAAGCUGAACUUCAAAGUGUUUUAACAGAUUAAAAAAAUAGAAGACCACAGAAACCACAUGGACCACAGA
This is a long non-coding RNA of Hyaena hyaena (striped hyena), 256 nucleotides long. RefSeq lists it as uncharacterized. NCBI's taxonomy places the organism in Eukaryota, Metazoa, Chordata, Mammalia, Carnivora, Hyaenidae. The transcript is spliced from 3 exons. The record is from RefSeq and is a predicted model, not a curated record.